GAAAAGUGAAAAGGCAGGUUUUGGAAGACAGAAGCCGUUCCCAAUAUUGGCUGUCACUGCCAUCGAAUACAAGAAGAUCGAUCCCGAACUCAGAAACUCUUCCACAACGACCUCGCUUUUCCGGCAACCGCCAAGAAAUCUCCAACGCUCCUCUCCUUUCCGAUUCUGAUCAAGAAAUCAGAAAAAGAGAAUUCAAAUAUGGAAAAAGACUCAUCUCGACCCACACGGCGGCAGAGAUUCGCGGUGGACGACGGCGCCGAUCUAAUAGACUGCUCCGGCAAGCAAUGCCAGUCGUGCACCACCGGCUUGGUUGCGGACUGCGUCGCCAUCUGGUUAUGCCCAUGCUCGGUUGUCAGCUUCUUGGCUCUGGCUCUCGUCAAACUUCCGUGGAUGAUCGGGCGGCGGUGUCUGCAGCAGAGAAGGCAGAAGAGGAAAUUGAUUGGGCGGAGAGGAGAACGCGAGGGCGGUGGUGUGGCGGCGGAGAGUGGUGGGGGUGCGGCUAGUGAGGAGGGGCUGCCGCCGUGGUUCGGAGAGGAAGAAGCAGGGAUGGGGAAUUUGAGUGCGAGGUUUGAAGCAGAGAGAAUUUGGGUGCAGUUGCAUCAGACAAGAAAUAAGAACGGAAUCCAGGCUACCAUUGAGCAUCGAGACUCGAGAGAUAGAGAUCGUAUGAGGAAAGAGCUUCUUGCGAAGAAUCGACUACAGAGACAACGAUGGAGGAUCAACCGACUCGAAUAAUGCUUGCAGUGAAUCAGUCAACCAUCAAUGGCUAUCCGCAUGCAUCCAUAAGCUGUAGAAGGGCCUUCGAAUGGACUCUCCAGAAGAUCGUCCGCUCCAACACCUCUGGUUUCCACUUGCUCUUCCUCCAUGUCCAAGUUCCUGACGAAGACGGUUUUGAUGGCUCAGAUAGUAUCUCUGCGUCCUCUGAUGAUUUUAAAGACCAGAACCCUAGGUACAAUUCAAGAGGGCUUCAACUACUGGAAUUCUUUGUCACGAGAUGUCAUGAACUUGGGGUCACUUGCGAAUCUUGGCUUAAGAAAGGCGAUCCAACUGAAGUAAUUUGCCUAGAGGCGAAACGCGUGCAACCUGAUUUUCUAGUUCUGGGAAGCAGGGGGCUUGGCCCGUUCAAGAAGGUUUUUGUGGGCACUGUAAGUGAGUUCUGUGCAAAACAUGCCGAGUGCCCUGUCAUUACAAUCAAACGCAGGGAGGACGAGACGCCCGAAGAUCCCAUCGAUGACUGAGUUUUCAGCCAGUAAAACUCACGGCCUCUUUGAUUUCCCUUCAUCAUGUUUAUAAAUAAGAAACUUUUGCAUACAGCCAUUAUUUUGUUCAUUUGAUUGAUGACUCAUUUGGGAUUUGGUAACAUCCUUUCCAUAUCCAAUGAAGGAAGAAGAAGAACAAGGGCAACAAUUUGGUGAAUAGAAGCAGAAAAUAAGCAUGGCUUCACAG
RNA transcript from Cucurbita moschata (crookneck pumpkin), 1446 nucleotides. It is a transcript of the gene named universal stress protein A-like protein, with no coding region annotated. The transcript is spliced from 9 exons. NCBI's taxonomy places the organism in Eukaryota, Viridiplantae, Streptophyta, Magnoliopsida, Cucurbitales, Cucurbitaceae. The record is from RefSeq and is a predicted model, not a curated record.